GGGUAUAGCUCAAGGGGUAGAGCAUAUGCUUACAAUGCAGGAGGUCCUGGGUUUAAUCCCCAGUAACUCCU
This 71-nucleotide transfer RNA is filed under the name Camelus bactrianus (Bactrian camel). It matches the Rfam family "tRNA". Rfam says of the family: Transfer RNA (tRNA) molecules are approximately 80 nucleotides in length. Their secondary structure includes four short double-helical elements and three loops (D, anti-codon, and T loops). Lineage: Eukaryota; Metazoa; Chordata; Mammalia; Artiodactyla; Camelidae. The record is from Rfam by way of RNAcentral. RNAcentral also lists the same sequence under 2 other names.